AUGCAAGUCGAACGCAGUAGCAAUACUGAGUGGCAGACGGGUGAGUAACAUGUGGGAAUCUGCCUUGUGGUUCAGGACAACAUUGGGAAACCGAUGCUAAUACUGGAUAAGCCCUUACGGGGAAAGUUUUAAUGCCAUAAGAUGAGCCCGCAUUUGAUUAGUUAGUUGGUGAGGUAAUGGCUCACCAAGACAAUGAUCAAUAGCUGAUCUGAGAGGAUGAUCAGCCACACUGGGACUGAGACACGGCCCAGACUCCUACGGGAGGCAGCAGUGGGGAAUCUUGCACAAUGGAGGAAACUCUGAUGCAGCGAUGCCGCGUGAGUGAAGAAGGCCUUUGGGUUGUAAAGCUCUUUUGUAGGGGAAGAUAAUGACUGUACCCUAAGAAUAAGGUCCGGCUAACUUCGUGCCAGCAGCCGCGGUAAUACGAAGGGACCUAGCGUAGUUCGGAAUUACUGGGCGUAAAGCGCGCGUAGGCCGUUGAGUUAGUUAAUUGUGAAAUCCCAAAGCUUAACUUUGGAACUGCAAUUAAAACUGCUCGACUAGAGUUUGAUAGAGGAAAGCGGAAUACAUAGUGUAGAGGUGAAAUUCGUAGAUAUUAUGUAGAACACCAGUUGCGAAGGCGGCUUUCUGGAUCAACACUGACGCUGAGGCGCGAAAGUAUGGGUAGCAAAGAGGAUUAGAUACCCUCGUAGUCCAUACCAUAAACGAUGAUUGCUAGAUGUUGGAAAUUUAUUUUCAGUAUCGCAGCUAACGCAUUAAGCAAUCCGCCUGGGGAGUACGACCGCAAGGUUAAAACUCAAAUGAAUUGACGGGGACCCGCACAAGCGGUGGAGCAUGUGGUUUAAUUCGAAGAUACGCGCAGAACCUUACCAACCCUUGACAUGUCUGUCGCGAGUUUAGGAAACUAGACUUUUCGGUU
Molecule: ribosomal RNA, 919 nt
Filed under: uncultured bacterium
Lineage: Bacteria
Description: bacterial SSU rRNA
Rfam family: Bacterial small subunit ribosomal RNA
Source: RNAcentral